RNAcentral lists this ribosomal RNA (1635 nucleotides) under Triticum aestivum (bread wheat). RNAcentral's name for it is "partial small subunit ribosomal RNA". The record is from RNAcentral. Lineage: Eukaryota; Viridiplantae; Streptophyta; Magnoliopsida; Poales; Poaceae.
AUGUCGUCAUCCCCACCCACGCCGCCGCUGCCCAUCAUCACCACCGCCCCGAUGACCACGGCCGGGUCCCCAACACCGCCGGCCCCAAUCACCUCCGCGCCGCCGUCAACGAUCCCCGUCUUCACGCCGGAGGAGAUGUCCAGCACCUUGCGGGACCUCAUGACGGCCGUCCAGGGCAUCACCCUGUACCUGGCCGGCCCGCACGCCACCCCGCCGGCUUCGCCCCCCACCUACAGCCAUCCGGCGCUGCACUGGCCGAUCCAGAACACGUCUGGCCCGAGCAGGACGCCCCUGCUGCCGUUCCAGGCGGGACACACCAGCGGGCCCCCAUCGCUGCUGCACCUACAGCCGCCCUCAGCCGCAGCCCAGCUCUGGCUGCCGUGGCCGUCCCAGGGCGCGCCUGCAAUUGGCGGGACACUGUUGCUGCCGUUCCAGGCGGGGCACCACAGCGGGCUGCCACCGCCGCUGCUGCACCUGCAGCCACCCCCAGCCGCGGCUCCCCUCUGGCCACAGUGGCCCCCUACUGCCACCGCGGCUACCGCCGCGUCCGCCCACUCUCCACAGCAGCCGCUGCAACUCCAGGCACCACCUCUGCCCAGCUCCGGACUGCCGUCACCGGCCGGCCUGCCGAUACACCAAGUCUGGUUCCCGCCCUCCCCGUCGCCACUACCAGCUUGGGCGGCUGGGUCUUCGCCAUCGCCAGUCUACACCACGGCUCCAGAGCAGCCGACCCCGUUUCCGCAGUUCGGCGGGCCAUCCGGCUCCGCGGGUCCCUACCCGGAGUACUCCGACCAGGCGCCACCCGCCUCGCUGCUCCGCACCUCCGAGCCAGCUCAACACGGCACUCCGACCCAGACACCGCCGCGGUUCGCCAAGAUCGACUUCGCCACCUAUGACGGCACGAAGGACCCCCUCAACUGGCUCAACCAGUGCGACCAGUUCUUUCGCGGGCAGUGCACCCUCGCCUCGGAGCGCACCUGGCUCGCCUCUUACCACCUCCGUGGCGCGGCACAGACCUGGUACUACACCCUUGAGCAGGACGAGGGCACCCCCUUGGGAGCGCUUCCGCAAGCUCUGCCUCCGUUUUGGGCCCCCGAUCCGCGGGAGCCGCCUAGCAGAGCUAGGCCGCCUUCCCUUCACCUCCACGGUUCAGGACUUCGCCGACCGUUUCCAGGCCCUGGCAUGCCACGCGUCCGGCGUGACGGCGCAGCAGCGGGCCGACCUCUUUGUCGGUGGACUUCCGGAUCACAUUCGCGUGGACGUGGAGCUUCGGGGACCCCAGGAUCUCCAGACGGCCAUGUACUACGCCCGCGCGUUCGAGCGCCGCACGGUGGCCGUCCAGCAGGAGUCACCGUCCCGGGCCACUGGGUCGCUACCCUGGCCAGAUCCCACUCAGGGUCGGCCUGCUCAGGCUUCCGCGGCACCCCUCGCCGCGACCGCGGCGCGCCCGUUCCGCCGGCUCACCUCGGUCGAGCUACUCGAGCGUCGCCGCCAAGGGUUGUGCUUCAACUGCGACGAGCCCUACACGCCCGGCCACGCCUGCCCACGACUCUUCUACCUGGAGGUUGCAGACUACAUUCCGGAGGACGUCGUCGCCGCCGACCUUGCCGCCCCAACUGUCACGAAGGUGUUUGA